This 397-nucleotide ribosomal RNA is filed under the name uncultured bacterium. RNAcentral describes it as "partial 16S ribosomal RNA". It matches the Rfam family "Bacterial small subunit ribosomal RNA", at positions 523 to 918 of the family's 1533-position model. The record is from RNAcentral.
AUACGUAGGGGGCAAGCGUUGUCCGGAAUGAUUGGGCGUAAAGGGCGCGUAGGCGGCAUCACAAGUCUGGAGUGAAAUACCCGAUUUCAAGUUGGGUACUGCUUUGGAAACUGUGGAGCUUGAGUGCAGGAGAGGUCAGUGGAAUUCCCAGUGUAGCGGUGAAAUGCGUAGAGAUUGGGAGGAACACCAGUGGCGAAGGCGACUGACGGGAGUGUGUGUGACGUUGAGAUGCGAAAGCCAGGGUAGCGGACGGGAUUAGAUCCCCCGGUAGUCCUGGCCGUAAACGAUGGUUACUAGGUGUGGGAGGUAUCGACCCCUUCCGUGCCGGAGUUACCACAAUAAGUACCCCGCCUGGGGAGUACGGCCGCAAGGCUUAAACUCAAAGGAAUUGACGGGG